Molecule: ribosomal RNA, 255 nt
Filed under: uncultured bacterium
Lineage: Bacteria
Description: partial 16S ribosomal RNA
Rfam family: Bacterial small subunit ribosomal RNA
Source: RNAcentral
GAUCCUGCUCAGAACGAACGCUGGCGGCAGGCUUAACACAUGCAAGUUGAACGGGAUUUGUGUGGUGCUUGCACCAUAUAAUGAGAGUAGCGCACUGGUGAGUAACACGUGGGAACGUGCCUUUUAGUGGGGGAUAACAUCUGGAAACGGAUGCUAAUACCGCGUACGCCCUGAGGGGGGAAAGAUUUAUUGCUAAGAGGUCGGCCCGCGGUAGAUUAGGCAGUUGGUGGGGUAAAGGCCUACCAAACCUACGAU